CCGUGCUAGAUGGGGAGCUAGCGGCACCCUGUAACUUGCAAUCCGCUAUAGCAAGGUUGAAUUCCCGGCCCAGCCUCUUUAUUUGGUGGCCUGCCCCGGAAAAGUGGCGUUGACGAUUGGGUCCUACGCAACAAAUGCUCAUGAACCGUGUCAGGUCUUGACGGAAGCAGCACUAAGUGAGAUGUUUUGUGUGCCGUAUGGAGUGCCUGGUCUGAGUUAACUCUCCGGGUACCGCAUGGAAUAAAGUUUGCAAAGCCGGGUGCAUGG
RNAcentral lists this signal recognition particle RNA (267 nucleotides) under Tissierellia bacterium. Its description in RNAcentral is "signal recognition particle sRNA large type". It matches the Rfam family "Bacterial large signal recognition particle RNA". Rfam says of the family: The signal recognition particle (SRP) is a universally conserved ribonucleoprotein involved in the co-translational targeting of proteins to membranes. Archaeal SRP consists of a 7S RNA and homologues of the eukaryotic SRP19 and SRP54 proteins. The record is from RNAcentral. Lineage: Bacteria; Bacillati; Bacillota; Tissierellia.